AGCAUAGAAUCCACUCAGCACCUCCUUUGCCACAGCCUCCCAUCCCCAACAUCACAAGAACCUUGAGUUGUGAUUGACUGGCAGAAGCCUUAGCAGGUCCUCAUUGAAUUCCCCGAGGGCCUAAUUUGGGUCAGGGUCUGAUCGAACGUUGCUCUUCCAUGGACAUCCCUCAACCAUAGGAUCACCGCCAUGAACUCCCCAUUGUGAUCGCAACAGAGUCACCCACCUGUGAGACCGAUUCGUUUAAGGAUACGAUGAUGAGACACCCAUGGUGUUUGCUCUUGAAAAGCUUGACCCUGGCACUGGUCUGGACAUCCAUAGGAACAAGUAACGAUAAUCCCCAUCAGCCUCUCAACCUAACCUGGCAAGUGAUUAAUGGAGAAGGAGAGGUCGUGUGGAGUACCUCAAAGGUCACAUACCCUGAAACCUGGUGGCCUAGCCUUUAUCCUGAUCUUUGUAAAUUGGCUAUAGGUGCCCCUGCUAAUUGGGACCUUGAGGGGUAUUCAAACUUUCAAAGGGCUCCAUCGUCACCCUCUCCUCUCAGCAGGCAUGGCCUUGAUCCUUGGGGCGGAUGUGGCACUAAAGAUAGAAGGAGCAUGUUAAGAGUACUUACCUUCUAUGUGUGCCCCGGUUAUCACCGCGACCUAUCUUUAAACCCAAGGUGUGGGGGUAAAAACGAAUUUUUCUGCAAAAGUUGGGGGUGUGAAACAACAGGCGACACCUACUGGCAUCCCUCCUCCUCCUGGGACUUAAUCACAGUCGCUGCCAAUUAUACACAUCAUAAAACAGGAAGUCAAGGAAACCCAGGUUGGACUAACAUUCCAGACUGUUCAGAUUGGUGUCACCCGCUUCAUAUCCAAUUUACAGACGAAGGAAAAAAGAAUAGUAGAUGGACCAAUGGCCAUUCUUGGGGUCUAAGACUUUACAAGGAACGCUUUGAUGAUGGCCUACUAUUUACCAUAAAGCUUCUGAUGCAGCCCCCUGGAGUUGAUGAGCUGGUGGUUCCUAUUGGACCAAACCAUGUCUUGAAUCCCUUGUCUCCACAAAAACAGCCCUUUAAUCCUGCUCCUACUGUUUACUCCACUGUUCCCUUUCCUCCUGAUGAUAUUUAAACCUGAUAUGUGGGGCAGUGGGCUGUGAGAGGCAGCUGGGUACCUAGUCAAGCUUGCUUGGAACCCUGGAGACCCUAAAGGUAGGUGUUCAUCCUUGCUCCCGGGCUCUGGUUUCUUUCACAUAGC
Non-coding RNA from Arvicanthis niloticus (Nile rat), 1238 nucleotides. The record is from RefSeq and is a predicted model, not a curated record. Lineage: Eukaryota; Metazoa; Chordata; Mammalia; Rodentia; Muridae.